Homo sapiens (human) is the source of this 691-nucleotide long non-coding RNA. The record is from Ensembl. Lineage: Eukaryota; Metazoa; Chordata; Mammalia; Primates; Hominidae.
GUUGCCAUGGCAAUAAUCUGCAAUUGUGCAGAAAAUCCACAGAACUCGUGAGCAACUCCUUAGUGGAUUGGGCUGAAAGAAAAUCAAACCCGUGAAAGCCCUGAAUUGAUGUGGUUAUGAAAGCGCAUUGGCCAAGCUGGCUUUCCUUCCUCUGACCCCCAUCUAACUAUGGUGAACGCCCUCGUUCCCACAGGUCUAAGAAAGUCAAGGACUUGAUAUUUACCAUUCAUUGGCUCUACACAAAUGGGGAUCUGCACUCAGAAGCCACAGAAAAAGAAGAAAAUGCAGUUCACCACCUCCCAGCAGUCCUGGUGGUGUAGGAGGAUGCGCCGAGGCCAAUCUUUGAUGGCUGCUGGUUACUUCCUCAUGAGCAGUGUUAGGCUGGGGACAGCAGGCCGGAAAGGAGUGCUUGGAGAGUGUCUUGACCUUCACAGAUGUCUUGCAAAAGGAAUGAUCGAAUGGCACACAUCUGUGAAUAGACAGCCACAUCUCUGCUGCCAGAAUACAGCUGCUGAGGUGUUUGGGGCUUACUUGGAGAAAUGAGGACAUUGAUCUGGGUGAAUGGUAGUAGCUGUACACAUACAAAGUACUGUUCACUUCUUUGCUAAGGUUUUAUGUACACUCUGAGGAUAUCAGAGAAUUCGGAGAAAAUCCAUGGCACAGAUUGGAUGCAUAAUACAUGUACGUACUU